RNAcentral lists this ribosomal RNA (253 nucleotides) under uncultured bacterium. RNAcentral's name for it is "partial 16S ribosomal RNA". It matches the Rfam family "Bacterial small subunit ribosomal RNA", at positions 524 to 776 of the family's 1533-position model. The record is from RNAcentral.
UACGUAGGGCGCAAGCGUUGUCCGGAAUUAUUGGGCGUAAAGAGCUCGUAGGCGGUCUGUCGCGUCUGCUGUGAAAACUCGGGGCUUAACCCCGGGCCUGCAGUGGGUACGGGCAGACUAGAGUGCGGUAGGGGAGACUGGAAUUCCUGGUGUAGCGGUGAAAUGCGCAGAUAUCAGGAGGAACACUGGUGGCGAAGGCGGGUCUCUGGGCCGUAACUGACGCUGAGGAGCGAAAGCAUGGGGAGCGAACAGG